AAUGAUGAAUGUUUUUAAGGCGUAUAUGAUAAUGAAAGAAGGGAUGAUACCAAAACAAGUUGCGGGGUUCUUUGCUUCUCCUUCGACAAAUUCUUCUACAACAACUGUAAGUAAUGUUCUUACAUUUCUAUUUUCAUUUGAUUUGUAUAUUGCUUCUCCUUUAUUUAAUGCAUUUUUUGUUGACAUAUAUUAACUGAUGAUAAGUACAGUUUGAAACAUAAUAUUUGCCAAGGAUUUUACAUUUUUUCAUAUCACUUGAUUAAUUUUAUACUUUAUUUUUUUAUGCAGCCAAGUGAUGCUGCUAGUGAACCAAUUCCACCUAUGCACACAAGAAGAUCAUGCAGUGGUGAUAGUAAUCCUAGCCAUGACAACCGUUGAUUAUAUUGUAGUGAACCAAUUCCGCCUAUAUUCUUAGCUAAUUAAUUUGAUGACAAGAUUGUGUGAUUGGAGGGGAUGUUAAAAUGUUGGAUUGGAUAUUUU
RNAcentral lists this long non-coding RNA (480 nucleotides) under Solanum tuberosum (potato). RNAcentral's name for it is "long non-coding RNA (STUB_LNC009001)". Lineage: Eukaryota; Viridiplantae; Streptophyta; Magnoliopsida; Solanales; Solanaceae. The record is from RNAcentral.